RNAcentral lists this ribosomal RNA (497 nucleotides) under uncultured bacterium. RNAcentral's name for it is "partial 16S ribosomal RNA". It matches the Rfam family "Bacterial small subunit ribosomal RNA", at positions 28 to 507 of the family's 1533-position model. The record is from RNAcentral.
GAUGAACGCUGGCGGCGUGCCUAAUACAUGCGAGUCGAGCGAACAGACGAGGAGCUUGCUCCUCUGACGUUAGCGGCGGACGGGUGAGUAACACGUGGAUAACCUACCUAUAAGACUGGGAUAACUUCGGGGAACCGGAGCUAAUACCGGAUAAUAUAUUGAACCGCAUGGUUCAAUAGUGAAAGACGGUUUUGCUGUCACUUAUAGAUGGAUCCGCGCCGCAUUAGCUAGUUGGUAAGGUAACGGCUUACCAAGGCAACGAUGCGUAGCCGACCUGAGAGGGUGAUCGGCCACACUGGAACUGAGACACGGUCCAGACUCCUACGGGAGGCAGCAGUAGGGAAUCUUCCGCAAUGGGCGAAAGCCUGACGGAGCAACGCCGCGUGAGUGAUGAAGGUCUUCGGAUCGUAAAACUCUGUUAUUAGGGAAGAACAAAUGUGUAAGUAACUAUGCACGUCUUGACGGUACCUAAUCAGAAAGCCACGGCUAACUACGUG